CUGGACAAGCGCUCUAAAUCAAGCCAGUGGCAUGAGAUCACCCUGGCUCUAGCAUUUUGGAAGAAGAUGACCAUUUUGGAAGAAGCAGCCCAAUGAGAAAAUAGGAGACUUCUUCGAGUCUGGUGUUUGUGCGUCCAUGCAAAGACGCUACGUUGCUUUAGGACGCCAAACAGAGAAGUCACGCGGCAUGAGAAGGCUAAAAAUAAGCAGUUUUCUAAUUUCCCACGAAACCACCCUUGUUUAAGCCUAAGAUGUAAGAUGCAGUAUUCUCUCUUAGGGAACCAUUAAGGAUAAAGAAUCAACGUGAACUGAGUCUCAUAACGUGUUUUAUUUCAUUUAGUCCCUUGGCAUUUUGAGGUGGGUGUCAGGGUCCUCCCUUCACUGACAGGGAAACAACUCUAAGAGGAUCACCACGGCCAAGCUGCCACUCAAGCCAACACCUGCUCGACUUCAAGAGCCAGGCUUUUUUCUACUACCCGUCGUGUUUUGUUUUCUCCCCUCCCGUUUCGUUUGCAUUAGGUGUAGGGACUACAGCUACCCUGUCACCCACGGUCGCUGCGAAAUGUCGCUUACGGUCAGGCCCCCAGAACGGUCACGCGCCCUCCCCUCCUGAGGUGUCUCCGAAACUCGAGCUCCACCGACGAGAAGCGCAGGCCUGAGGCACCGACGCCAGCGCCAGCGCCAGCGCCAGCCCCAGCGUGGCCUCAGGAGCCCGGAAGGCGCCCCCGGGGCGCGUUUACAACACUGUCGUAAAGCGGCGGCUGCCGACAGCCGGCCUCGAGGCGCCGUCGAGGAGCUCGGCGGAGAAAGGAGAUGGAGGAAGGCUGAGGGCCGGGUGACGCCGAAUGGAGACGAGGCGCGGGGUGAAUGGUUGGAGAAGGGAGAGUGAAUGCGGAUUAUCAGGAGAACACAAAUGUGCUGAAGUUAAAGAAAAAUAGGUGCCAUUGUUUUUUUCUUUUAACACGUCAUUUGAAAAUAAAGAUCUUUAAGGAUCACUGGGAGCUGGGAUGUUCAAGUGAAAGUUACCCAUACUGACUUCCUGUAGGUGGAAUAUUCUAAACAGUGCUGCUGGUAUUGUAGCUGUGAUUAUCUCUGAGAUUUUAAAAUCCAUAACGUAGAAUCAUAAUGGUAGUAACAGAUAUAAGGUGUGGAAUACAGAAACACAAAGUUCAGAGCCUUUACUAAAUUCAUAAUUAAUUUAAAACCCAGUCAACCAAAGGAAAUUAUUAUAUAAACAAAAAGAGAAAAUGCAUUAGGAGAACUACCUUGUAUGAAAGCAGUUGGAUUUGUCUUUCCGAGGUGUGAUUGCACACACAGAAACACAUUAAAGCAUUGGCUCAGGGCAUCCGUCAGGCUGUGCAGCACAUUCAUCUGUCUCUGCAGCUAUGGGUAGCUCCUGUAAGAAGUAUGCUGGGCUUAGUGGGGGGAAAUAAUAAAUCAACAUGUGCCAUCA
RNAcentral lists this long non-coding RNA (1453 nucleotides) under Vulpes vulpes (red fox). RNAcentral describes it as "lncRNA (ENSVVUG00000000348.1)". The record is from RNAcentral. Lineage: Eukaryota; Metazoa; Chordata; Mammalia; Carnivora; Canidae.